Mycena metata is the source of this 86-nucleotide non-coding RNA. Lineage: Eukaryota; Fungi; Basidiomycota; Agaricomycetes; Agaricales; Mycenaceae. The record is from the annotation of a GenBank genome assembly.
UCAGACGUGGUGCACGGCGCACACCCACUCUCCCUGGCCCUCCGGUCUAGCAGUGGGAGCCCCGGGUUCGAUUCCCGGCGUCUGAA